Molecule: ribosomal RNA, 253 nt
Filed under: uncultured bacterium
Lineage: Bacteria
Description: partial 16S ribosomal RNA
Rfam family: Bacterial small subunit ribosomal RNA
Source: RNAcentral
UACGGGGGGGGUAAGCGUUGUUCGGAAUUACUGGGCGUAAAGGGCUCGUAGGCGGCCAACUAAGUCAGACGUGAAAUCCCUCGGCUUAACCGGGGAACUGCGUCUGAUACUGGAUGGCUUGAGUUUGGGAGAGGGAUGCGGAAUUCCAGGUGUAGCGGUGAAAUGCGUAGAUAUCUGGAGGAACACCGGUGGCGAAGGCGGCAUCCUGGACCAACACUGACACUGAGGAGCGAAAGCCAGGGGAGCAAACGGG